GUCCUCUGCCUCGUAUGGAUACCUAUAGAGGCCGGACGUGUGUGCGGCUUCAAGCGAACCUUCAUCAAAUACCACGAUCAUCAAUUUGCGGUGAUCAUCUACCUUCCUAAUCAUGUAAAAAAUAUUUAAUCCUAAUCUAUCUACGAACGGUGCUUUAAAAUAUGUUCAUGCGAUGAACGGGAUCUUCCGCACGCCUUCCGCUGCAUUCUGAAUUUUUCUACAGCGUGCGAGGGAUUCCAACAGUGGUAUCAGAGCCAUGGUUGCGUAGAUUAAGAUUAGGAUUAAUCAUUAAAGGCAUAUUAGAUCUGAAAAUUUAAAGAUUAUGCUUGCUGAAAUUUUCUGCAUGCAGAAUUUUAGGUUGCUGAUUUUUCUGCAUGCUGAUUUUUGUAUGCGUAGAUUAAUAAUUCUAUAGUUUUGUUAAUAUGAUUACAAAUGUUUAGAAUCAUAUCUUACAUGAUCAGCAACUCAUGAGAUAACAUAAUCAGUUAAGUUUUAGAUCUGUAAAUUAUAUUUAUGCAUUAGAUGCGUAUGGUGAUGAUCAUGGAUGAACCCUUGUGAAUGUACUGAAAUGUUCUGUGAUGUCUGUGAUGUUAUGAGAUGGCAUGUAAUUCAGAUUUUCAGAUGCCUGCGUGUAUCUUAAAUUAUGUAUUAGAGACCUGCGUGUCUAAUGAAAAAGGGUUGUAAUUAUUUUUUUAUUUUAAAUUUAUCUGGGAUGUAAUCUGUGAUGUGUUUGCACGUCAAU
RNAcentral lists this long non-coding RNA (742 nucleotides) under Phoenix dactylifera (date palm). RNAcentral describes it as "long non-coding RNA (PDAC_LNC018581)". The record is from RNAcentral. Lineage: Eukaryota; Viridiplantae; Streptophyta; Magnoliopsida; Arecales; Arecaceae.